GGCAGAACCUGGUGUCCUACCUCAGGUCUGCAGAGCCCAGAGGAGGUUCCCAGGGGAUGCGAGGGUCAAGACCAACCUGAGACCAAGGAGAUGGCAGAAUAGGGAGACCCAGCCACCCAGAGCGGCAGGGGUGGCCCUUAGCACCUGGCGAGGCCACUGUGUCCUCCCCUCUGAGCAGAACCCUUCCUGCCCGAGGGCCGCCCUGCUGCGACUGCCUGCUUCCUGCCUCUUCAGACCCAACAGAAAUAGCCCCCACUGGCCAGUCCCUGUGUCACGUGUCCAGUGAGCCUCCUGGACGUGGCGGGGAGGAGGAAGGGUCCUGCAUGCAGCGGCCCUGCCCAGGCCAGCAGCAGGAGGCAGGGCAUGGCGGCCUCUCCCCGGCCCUCCACUUGCCCCCAGAGCCCAGCUGCCUGUCAGUUGGGAACGCUGAGCCAGGUGGACUCUGGUUCAAAUUAAAGGUCACCCUGCCCUGCCCGCUGGGACCCUUCGAGCUGGGCGUGGCUGCCCUUUGGGGUUGGUUUUCUCCUGCUGACUGCCCAGGGGCCUUGACCCAAGCUUUGCUUAGCAUGCUGGACUGUCGGGUGAGUGUAUUGGGUGCUGUGCGACCACCACUCUGUCCUGUUCCAGAACAUUCUCUUCACCCAGAAAGGCACCUGUGCCUGUUAUCAGUGCCGGCCAUGCCCGGCCCCCUCUCGGCCUGCAGGGAGUGGACUCACCUGGGCCCGAGCAGCACGCCCCAGCUGGAGUCGGGCGCUCCCUGCAGUCCCGGGGUGUCCUAGGCGUGGCCGGAGAGAACUCGCCCGCGGAGCUCCUCCUGAUCAGCACAACCUGGCCCAGGCCACGUCCCUGCCCCUGGCUUUCCUUCCUCCACAGGGUGCCCGGUCCUCAGGCUAAGUCCCCAGGGCCAGAUCAGGACAAGGCUCCAUCCAGGCACAGGAGAGUCAAGCUGGCAGAGGCUGUGGGCAGUGCAUGGCCAGGCAGGGCCAGACUCACUUUGAGUGACCAGCUCUGACAUGAGUGGGGCUCUAGGGGACAGAAGGAUGGCAUCUUCCUCUCUCCAAGAACAGGAAAGCCUGGGUCCAGACUCCUCCAGGUCAGUGAGGCCACCUGCUGACGUCCACUCCCUCACUCUCACCCCUGGGAUAGGGUGCAUUGCCCAGCAGCUCUGCUGCCCACAACGUCCACUCUGUGGCUCAUAACAGGCGCGUGGCAGCAGCUGCCGUCUCAGACCAGCUCAGGGGGCACCAGCCAAGUGGCGUGUGUCGAAGACCAGGGCAAGGCAGGGCCUCCCUGUUCUCAGUCCAGCCGGGAGAGAGCUAAGGCUCUAGGACCUGCAGCCACACAGGGUCAGCACACAGACCCUGGCCAGCACUCAAAUGUGCCCCAAGCCCCUGCUUGGCUUGUGAAGCCCGGUGUCCUUGGCCAUGUCCAGUGACCUCAGAGCUGGGAGGAGCACACGAGAAGAGGGUGGUGAGGGGCCAGGGCAUCCGGCUCUGGCCUGGGACUGUCCCUCAGCCAAGCUGAGUGUGGUCAGAACACGGUUGGGUCAAGGGCAGGUGGAACAGCAUUGGGAGUACUGGACCUGCAGCGACCACCUGACCACAGAGCCAUGGCAGGGACGCAGCGACCACAGCAUGCAGGGCCUCCCCAGGGACAGUGCAGCAGUCAGCACUCAGCGCAGCCCAGCCAGCCCCCCAGCCACCGAGACGGGCUGAGUCAGGCCCAGCUGGACAGAGCCAGGGAAGGUUGUGCAUCUGCCUGUGAGUGUGGGGGAGUGCGUGUGUGAGUGUGUGCAUGUGCCGCGUGGGAGCGUGUGCUGUGUGGGUCGUGUGGGACCGUGUGCGUGUGCCAUGUGCCGCGUGGGAGCGUGUGCUCUGUGUGCCGUGUGCUGUGUGGGUUCAGGAGUUGGCAGAAGGCCAUCCUGCUGUCCCCAGUCAGCCUUGGGGAGGCGGCGGCCACCGACACCUUGGCUGCUACAGAGGAGGCCAGGUGUGAGCCAUCGACACGCCCAGUGGAGCGGAGCGUCCCUGCCCCCUCCUGGGGCCACUGCAGGGGCUGCCUGAGUCACAGGUGUCCCCCAAAGGUCUGAGUGUUCCUGGGAGUCCUCAGGGACGCUGGACCUGCACAGCCUGAGCCUAGGAAGGCCAGCGGGAGGUGGCUGAGCGGUGCCAUGGGGAGGCUGGCAGACCGGGAGCUCCAGCUAAACCUGGGUGCAAGCCUCGACUGCUCGUGGGCCCGAGGAGCUGGAGUCACAUCUGGUAAGUUCACCACCGCCUCUAGCCAGUUGGCUUUUUCUUCUUUUUAAAUCACCUUUUUAUUUUUUUCCAAUCUUUCACUCACUCACUCACUCAUUCACUGUUGGUCAUCUUUUAUUGACUCUUAGGAAUCCCUCCCAGCCACAGGUGCCUGCACGGUGUCACACAGACGGUAGCUUCUGUGAGCUGUUCCCCUGGUCCUCCUGCGGGCCUCGACCUCUCCCCGUCACACUCUGACCCUCCCGGCUCCUUCCUUUGCUUCCUUGCUCAAGGGACAGGGCUGGGCAGUUUCCUCCUGGGCACACAGCUACAGAGCCUUGUGGGGAGGCCCCCGGCUGGCUGGCCACCGUGGGGUUCCGUGGCUGCUCAGACACCUGCCGGGCACAGUCGGAGUCUCCUGGUAGCUUAGCGGCUGUAGGUGAAGCUCUUGGAACAAGGAGGUGUUCUUGGAGGUGUUCCGGCUGCGCUGCUGCAGGCCCCGCUGCGGGGUCACAUCCCCUGGCGUCUGGCCUUUGGAUCACGUGCGGAGGUUCCCUGGGCUACUCUGCCACUUGCUUCAACUCUGCUGGUUUAAGCCCGUGCUCUCCCCAUCCCCCACCAAGAUGGCCUUGACCUUCCUAUUCCUGUUUUCCAGCUCACCUUUACUUACUUGCUUUGGUCUCCUUGGGCUCAGUUGCUCUCUCUGCUUGGACCUGGGUCCCUGAGGGUGCCUGGAGGGAACCUGGAUGCACCCCAUGGGGCUGAGGCCAGGAGUCUGCCCCAUCUCCAGGUAGCCCGUGCUUGUGCCUGUGUGUCCCCUUUUAUUAAGAUGGCGUCUAGGUCGUUUCUCCUUCCAAGUUGACCCCUGGUGAGGCCUUCUCUCACUGAUUUAAAAUCCCGGAGUCUGGGGACGCUGCUGGCUGGGGUCUAGAGUGCAGCAGCACCCAAGGGGUCCCAGCCCAGCAGCCCUAGUGGAGACCAGGGAGGUCCCAGCACAGCAGGGUGCCGUGGCCCUGAUCUGCUUUGGGGCAUUCACAGAGACUUCCUCUGCCACCUAAAAUCUGCUCAUUUUAGUACUUGCUCCGUGGGAACUUGAAAAGAAGGUGUUUCCUCAAGUUUGGGUGCAGAAUUUAAAUUUAGAUCUACCCAAUUAACUUAAUUAAUAAUAAUAUUUCUCAGUUCCUCAUUUUUUAACAUUUCAUUAGUGAAUUUGAGAGGUGUUGCACUUGCUACAGGGUCCAUUGGCUUCUCUGGGACCAUGGAGGCAAUAGGAGCCCCCUCGAGGUGGGGUGUCGCUAAGUACCAGGAAAGUGCAGGGAUCUAACAGACCACCCAGAAGGGCCCGCCCUGCCGCCUAGCUUGGCAGGAGAAGAAGCAGGUCAGUCAGGCAGGAGGGCUUCCAACAGACAGUGCUGGGACGACCAGGCACCUGCAGGCACGGGCCGAGGCCUGACCACGUCUCGCAGCUGACACAGAGCCCACCUCGUCCAGAGCCA
Molecule: long non-coding RNA, 3730 nt
Filed under: Marmota monax (woodchuck)
Lineage: Eukaryota; Metazoa; Chordata; Mammalia; Rodentia; Sciuridae
Source: RNAcentral